GCCAGGCAUGGUGGUGCAUGCCUGUAAUCCCAGCUACUCGGGAGGCUGAGGCGGGAGAAUCUCUUGAGCCAGGGAGUCGGAGGUUGCAGUGAGCCAAGAUAACGCCACUGACCGAGAUCGCCCCACUGCACUCCAGCCUGGCGACAGAGUGAGACUCCGUCUCAA
This 165-nucleotide non-coding RNA is filed under the name Homo sapiens (human). Lineage: Eukaryota; Metazoa; Chordata; Mammalia; Primates; Hominidae. The record is from Rfam by way of RNAcentral.